RNAcentral lists this transfer RNA (87 nucleotides) under Bacteroidota bacterium. Its description in RNAcentral is "Bacteroidetes bacterium tRNA-Leu". It matches the Rfam family "tRNA". From Rfam's summary of the family: Transfer RNA (tRNA) molecules are approximately 80 nucleotides in length. RNAcentral also lists the same sequence under 1 other name. Lineage: Bacteria; Pseudomonadati; Bacteroidota. The record is from RNAcentral.
GCCCAGGUGGUGGAAUUGGUAGACACACCAGCUUGAGGGGCUGGCGCCAGCAAUGGUGUGCAAGUUCGAAUCUUGUCCUGGGCACCA